Molecule: ribosomal RNA, 433 nt
Filed under: Euaulana tasmaniae
Lineage: Eukaryota; Metazoa; Arthropoda; Insecta; Hemiptera; Tingidae
Description: partial large subunit ribosomal RNA
Source: RNAcentral
UUCUUUAUAAAAAAAUAUAAAGUAUAACCUGCUCAAUGAUUUUUUAAAUAGCCGCGGUGUUAAUCGUGCUAAGGUAGCAUAAUAAUUUGUCUUUUAAUUAAGGUCUUGUAUAAAUGGUUGAACGAGAGAUAAGCUUUUUUAAUUAAAUUUUUUUUAAUUUUAUAUCUUAGUUAAAAAGCUAAGAUGUUUUUAUGUGACGAUAAGACCCUAUAAAAUUUUAUUUAUACUUUAUUUUUUAAUUAUUAGUUUUUAUUUUUAUUGAUUAAUACUAAAAUUUGAUUGGGGCGAUUGUUUUAUUUUAAUAACUAUAACUUUUAUAAAUCAAAGAUUGAUGACUAAUUUGAUCCUGACUUUUUGGAUUAUAAGAAUAAAUUACUUUAGGGAUAACAGCGUAAUUUUCUUGGCGAGUUCAUAUUUAUAAGAAAGAUUGCGA